Molecule: long non-coding RNA, 1714 nt
Organism: Carassius auratus (goldfish)
Lineage: Eukaryota; Metazoa; Chordata; Actinopteri; Cypriniformes; Cyprinidae
Source: Ensembl
UGGAUGUCGCUAAAUUAAUAACUUCUUUGACGUCCUAACCAUGGAUGUUGUUUAAGAAGAUAACAUAUAUUAACAGUUAAAAUAACAGUUUAAAUUCCCAAAAUCGCGCGAGUCCGUUUGCAUUUAACGCAGCUUAAGCGCUCGCUCGCGCUCAUUAGUAAAUUGACCGUUACAAAUCUAACCGCUUGCCUCAUCGUGUACUCGACGACUGUACUCGGUCAAAUUACAUUUUAAACACCCUUUCUCCUAAAAAAAUAAGGUAGGAAACUGGUUAAAACGACAAUAUUAGUGUCCACAUUCAACGAAUUCGUUAACUUUGCUGUCCCUUGAGUUCUUUUAAAGCAUUAGAAUCACAUUUCGUGUUUGUUAUUGUGAGAGAACUAAGUUAAGUUAAUUAUAUUAUUGAAAAACGAUAUCCCAACACACAAUUUGUUUUGAAACUUAGCCACUUUAAACUUUAAAAAUAUCCAAAUUAUUUAGAUUAUUUAAAUAUUUAUCUAUGUGUAGCUCAAUGAUGGAAAGCUUAGUUUAGGCUAAAUCUCGUUGCUUGUUUUAUAAACGAUUAUAAUAAUGCAUUAUAUGCAUAGAUACAAUUCACAUUAUUAUUAUUAUUAAAAAGAGUGUAUGACAGGGAUUGUAUUACUUUUUAUUUAUUUAUGUUUGGUGUAAAGCAGUAUGGAUGCAGGUGAUGCAAGUCAACCAAUGACUCAGUCUGCAGAAUAUGAACAGUCACCAUUAGUAAUUUGCAAAGAGGAGAACACAAAAGUGGUUCUACCCGACUCUUCAACCAGUACACAUCUUGGUGACUCUCCAAACGAUGAAGAUGCAAAACAGAAGUUGGAUGUCGAGACAUCCGCCAGAAAUAUUUUCAACAAUAACAAUGCAGGCCCUUUCAGUGAGAUGUUUCAUAUACAUGUUUCACAUGUGCUGUGGCCUCAAAAACUAUUUAGAUGCUUGUGUAUUCUCAAGUCAUUCUUAAUGAUGUAUCAAUGCCAUUGCAUUCUAAAACAAUAUAUCAAGCCAAAUGGCAUCCCCACAUAAAUGAUACUAAACUAACAUUACUUUUCAGAGCCUUUUUUGACUUUAUCUUUGAUUUUUUUUUAAGCAGUUUCACUGGUGUUUCACAAUAAGGCGUUCAAAUACAUUUUGUGUAAUUUUGAAUAAUAUUUUUGUUGUUUUGUCAUUUAAAGCUUAGCAAACCACUUUUUGUGAAAUAUUUUUUUGCGGCCACUGUAGGUGAAACCAAACUUUAUAUACAUUUUUGUCUCUGACAAAUCAAAAGUAUGAUGUGCACAGACUUGUCCUCAUAUGACUUUUGUUUUGUUGCUCAAAAGUCUCUGUCAACCACAGCGGCGGUGUCCAGUUUAUCCCCUGCCAGCAGAGAUAUGAUACCUUCACCUCCUGGCCUGGGUCUCCCAUAAUGCAGUAUGCUGUCCACUCCAGCAAUGGCACUUACAUUGUGUCUGAAGAUAAGGGCCAAGGUAAUGACAUCACCAUUUGGAUUUGAAGUCAUUCAUUUGGAUUAUACUCUCGUUUUAAAAAAUACCAUAUAAUGUACACCGUAGAUGUAUUAAUAAGCAAAUGGGGGAUUAUUAGAACAUGUCUUGGCCACUUUUUGCACCAAAAUAAGACAUUAGAACCAGUAGGAUUAUUUUGCAUUUGACAUCGUCUUCAUUAUAAGAAAUGUUUGUUCAUUGAAGUAUAGGAAUUCUGG